CUCAGUGAUGAAGCCAUUGAAGAUGCCCUUGAGAAGGUUCAACACUACCUUUUGUUUUACUGAUACUAUAAAUUUAUAGAAUAAGGAACUCAGGUUUGACACACAAGGUGUGGAACCGUGAGAAGAUCAUCAUCAUCCCCGGCCACUCAUCUUCACCAGCGACGAGCGGGCGAACCGAUAACUGGGGACUUCUGCAACGAGUGGAAGAUUAGGAAAAUUCACAAUACAGAGGUGUUUGCCAGAUUGUGCCCGCUCAAGAAGGCCCGCUGCUGACUAGACGAGCUUUUGGUCAAUUUGCAACUGGAAUUGAAAUACUAAUGCAGGUUUGAUAUUGGGACUGGAAAGGUUCUUCUCAAGGUAUGCAAACAAGUUUAGGUACUCCCAGAUAUAAUUGACAUAGUCUUAAAUGAUAAAGUAAAAAGAUGUAUCUUUCUUUUAGAUGUUAUUUUCCAUCUUACUGCUACAGGACAAGCUAGCACAGUUUCCUACUGUGUAUUAAUAUAAUUUAGUUAGCUUUCUGAUAGUUCAUUAGAAUAACCAGUCUUGCAUUUUUGUGACUACUUACAGUAGUUUCUUUGGAUCGUCUUCUUGGCUGCACCAAGCCUUUUAAGUUUAUAAAAAAUUAAAAUCUCCAUUUUACAUGUCUUUUAUACAUGUCUAAAAUGAAAAACAUGUGGCUUUUGCCACUGAGUGAAAUUGCUUUUUUUUCUUGAAAACGCAAUUUCAUUUCAUUGAAAAGAUAGAGUUUACAAUCCUCCGAGUAGUUCUGCCAUCAACCUGGGAUGUCCACUAAAUACAUGUAACUCUGUUGUAAAUUGCUAUUUUUGUACUGUCAUAUUUUACAUAGUCUGUAUAUUUUUCUGUACACAUAGCUUCCUGUCUAGCAAAAUGUCUAGGCAGCCA
Lolium rigidum is the source of this 903-nucleotide long non-coding RNA. RefSeq lists it as uncharacterized. The transcript has 3 exons. NCBI's taxonomy places the organism in Eukaryota, Viridiplantae, Streptophyta, Magnoliopsida, Poales, Poaceae. The record is from RefSeq and is a predicted model, not a curated record.